GUGUUGAAUGUGGCCCUUCUGAUGCCAGUAGUAGCAUUUUUUCUCUGCACAGUCUACUUGUGGUCUUGAUUCUGAUUUACUAUUUUUUCUAUAAUAGUUUUCACGUAAAUUGUUUCUAUCACGGCUAGAACUAGUAACAAAAGCUCUACCUUCAUUGCUACUACUGGGCAUUUUGAACUUCUCAUUAUUCAAAAUUACUGCAGUAACUUCUUUCACCUUUAGCGUAUCCUUCUAGAUUGUUAGGGUUGUCACUAGGCUUUUGUAAGAUUGUGGGAGAGAGGUUAGA
Molecule: unclassified non-coding RNA, 286 nt
Filed under: Hevea brasiliensis (rubber tree)
Lineage: Eukaryota; Viridiplantae; Streptophyta; Magnoliopsida; Malpighiales; Euphorbiaceae
Source: RNAcentral